Molecule: ribosomal RNA, 260 nt
Filed under: uncultured bacterium
Lineage: Bacteria
Description: partial 16S ribosomal RNA
Rfam family: Bacterial small subunit ribosomal RNA
Source: RNAcentral
UACGAAGGGUGCAAACGUUGCUCGGAAUUAUUGGGCGUAAAGCGCACGUAGGCGGCUUAGCAAGUCGGAAGUGAAAUCCCACGGCUCAACCAUGGAAGUGCUUUCGAAACUGCUGAGCUUUGAGUACGAAAAGAGGAUCGCGGAAUUCCCGGUGUAGAGGUGAAAUUCGUAGAUAUCGGGGAGGAACACCAGGUGGCGAAGGCGGCGAUCUGGGUCGAUACUGACGCUGAGGUGCGAAAAGCGUGGGGGAGCAAAACAGG